GUGCUUACUUUGGCAGCACAUAUAAUAAAAUUGGAAUGAUACAGAGAAUAUUAGAAUGGGCCCUGUACAAGUAUGACAUGAAGUUCGUGAAGUGUUCCAUAUUUUU
Molecule: small nuclear RNA, 106 nt
Organism: Cavia porcellus (domestic guinea pig)
Lineage: Eukaryota; Metazoa; Chordata; Mammalia; Rodentia; Caviidae
Source: Ensembl